RNAcentral lists this ribosomal RNA (871 nucleotides) under Talaromyces minioluteus. RNAcentral's name for it is "LSU rRNA". It matches the Rfam family "Eukaryotic large subunit ribosomal RNA", at positions 68 to 954 of the family's 3401-position model. Lineage: Eukaryota; Fungi; Ascomycota; Eurotiomycetes; Eurotiales; Trichocomaceae. The record is from RNAcentral.
ACCGGGAUUGCCUCAGUAACGGCGAGUGAAGCGGCAAGAGCUCAAAUUUGAAAUCUGGCCCCCCUGGGGGUCCGAGUUGUAAUUUGGAGAGGAUGCUUCGGGUACGGUGCCCAUCUAAGUGCCCUGGAACGGGCGGUCAUAGAGGGUGAGAAUCCCGUAUGGGAUGGGCGGCCGUGCCCGUGUGAAGCUCCUUCGACGAGUCGAGUUGUUUGGGAAUGCAGCUCUAAGCGGGUGGUAAAUUUCAUCUAAAGCUAAAUACUGGCCGGAGACCGAUAGCGCACAAGUAGAGUGAUCGAAAGAUGAAAAGCACUUUGAAAAGAGAGUUAAACAGCACGUGAAAUUGUUGAAAGGGAAGCGUUGGCCACCAGACGCGCCCGGGAGGGUUCAGCCGGCACUUGUGCCGGUGUACUCCCCCCCGGGUGGGCCAGCAUCGGUUUGGGCGGUCGCUGAAAGGCCCCGGGAAUGUAGCACCCUCCGGGGUGCCUUAUAGCCCGGGGUGUCAUGCGGCCCGCCUGGACCGAGGCCCGCGCUUCGGCGAGGAUGCUGGCGUAAUGGUGGUCAACGGCCCGUCUUGAAACACGGACCAAGGAGUCUAACAUCUAUGCGAGUGUUCGGGUGUCAAACCCGUCCGCGCAGUGAAAGCGAACGCAGGUGGGAACCCCUUCCGGGGUGCACCAUCGACCGAUCCUGAUGUCUUCGGAUGGAUUUGAGUAAGAGCAUAGCUGUUGGGACCCGAAAGAUGGUGAACUAUGCCUGAAUAGGGCGAAGCCAGAGGAAACUCUGGUGGAGGCUCGCAGCGGUUCUGACGUGCAAAUCGAUCGUCAAAUUUGGGUACAGGGGCGAAAGACUAAUCGAACCAUCUGGUAGCUGG